CUGGCUCAGAACGAACGCUGGCGGCGCGUUUAAGCAUGCAAGUCGAGCGGCAAGGGCCUUCGGGCCCCUAGAGCGGCGGACGGGUGAGUAACACGUGGACAAUCUGCCCCCCGGCCCGGGAUAGCCCAGGGAAACCUGGAUUAAUACCGGAUGAGACGGGACCCGCGAUGGCGGGACCCGGGAAAGGCGCUGCGGCGCCGCCGGGGGAUGAGUCUGCGUCCCAUUAGCUAGACGCGGGGUAACGGCCCACCGUGGCGACGAUGGGUAGCCGGCCUGAGAGGGUGGACGGCCACAUUGGAACUGAGACACGGUCCAGACUCCUACGGGAGGCAGCAGCUAAGAAUCUUCCGCAAUGGGCGAAAGCCUGACGGAAGCGACGCCGCGUGAACGAAGAAGGCCGUGAGGUUGUAAAGUUCUUUUCGGGAGGGGGAACAACCGUGGCAGGGAAUGGCCGCGGGAUGACGUGAAUCCCGGAAUAAGCCCCGGCUAACUACGUGCCAGCCGCCGC
Molecule: ribosomal RNA, 508 nt
Filed under: uncultured bacterium
Lineage: Bacteria
Description: bacterial SSU rRNA
Rfam family: Bacterial small subunit ribosomal RNA
Source: RNAcentral